This 506-nucleotide ribosomal RNA is filed under the name uncultured bacterium. Its description in RNAcentral is "bacterial SSU rRNA". It matches the Rfam family "Bacterial small subunit ribosomal RNA", at positions 40 to 518 of the family's 1533-position model. The record is from RNAcentral.
CGGCGUGCCUAAUACAUGCAAGUCGAACGGUCUUUUCUAUGGAAGCUUGCUUCCACUGAGAGGAUAGUGGCGAACGGGUGAGUAACACGUGGGUAACCUGCCCAUAAGAGGGGGAUAACAUCCGGAAACGGGUGCUAAUACCGCAUAGUUUUCUUGAUCGCAUGAUUGAGAAAGGAAAGACGGCCUUUGUGCUGUCGCUUAUGGAUGGACCCGCGGCGUAUUAGUUAGUUGGUGAGGUAACGGCUCACCAAGACGAUGAUACGUAGCCGACCUGAGAGGGUGAUCGGCCACAUUGGGACUGAGACACGGCCCAAACUCCUACGGGAGGCAGCAGUAGGGAAUCUUCCGCAAUGGACGAAAGUCUGACGGAGCAACGCCGCGUGAGUGAAGAAAGGUUUUCGGAUCGUAAAACUCUGUUGUCAGAGAAGAACAAGUUGGAGAGUAACUGCUCCAGCCUUGACGGUAUCUGACCAGAAAGCCACGGCUAACUACGUGCCAGCAGCGGC